This 258-nucleotide ribosomal RNA is filed under the name uncultured bacterium. RNAcentral's name for it is "partial 16S ribosomal RNA". It matches the Rfam family "Bacterial small subunit ribosomal RNA", at positions 96 to 354 of the family's 1533-position model. The record is from RNAcentral.
UGGCGGACGGGUGAGUAACGCGUGGGGAACCUGCCUUGCACCGGGGGAUAACACUUAGAAAUAGGUGCUAAUACCGCAUAAGCGCACAGAGCCGCAUGGCUCGGUGUGAAAAACUCCGGUGGUGCAAGAUGGACCCGCGUCUGAUUAGCUGGUUGGCGGGGUAACGGCCCACCAAGGCGACGAUCAGUAGCCGGCCUGAGAGGGCGAACGGCCACAUUGGGACUGAGACACGGCCCAAACUCCUACGGAAGGCAGCAG